CACUCAUUCUCUGUCUCUCUCUGUCUCUCUCUCUCUGUCUCUCUCUCUCCCUCUCUCUCUCUCUGUCUCUCAAAAAAGAAAGAAUAAUGACUAAUAUAUAGCAGUAUAUAAUUGAACAGUUGUGUUUUAGGAGUUCAAAGAAAGGGACAAUCAAGAAAGAUCCAUGGAGGAAUUGAAAAGGAAGCACAGCCUGGACUGAAGGAUGUCAUCUGGCCAGGCAGAUAAGAGACAGCAUAUGUUUCUGACCAAAGCAGCCUCUUGGGCAAAGGUCCAGAAGCAGGACAAGUGGAGAGACAGGUCUGAGAGAGGGGUGUGUGCUGGAGAGAAAGGAAGAAGGAAGACGGAACAGGGUUGGAACUAGGCUUUUAUUUCCUUGCAUCACCUCACCUUCUCAUCCCUCCAAGCCUUUUCCUUCCUGCCUCAAGAGAGACAGAGCAUGAACGGGGGAGGGGCAGAGAGAGAG
This is a long non-coding RNA of Felis catus (domestic cat), 463 nucleotides long. RefSeq lists it as uncharacterized. The record is from RefSeq and is a predicted model, not a curated record. The transcript has 3 exons. Lineage: Eukaryota; Metazoa; Chordata; Mammalia; Carnivora; Felidae.